This 24-nucleotide unclassified non-coding RNA is filed under the name Mus musculus (house mouse). RNAcentral's name for it is "oocyte_clustered_small_RNA73". Lineage: Eukaryota; Metazoa; Chordata; Mammalia; Rodentia; Muridae. The record is from RNAcentral.
UGAUUGCCUGCGGUAGACUAGUUU